AACGAACGCUGGCGACAUGCCUAACACAUGCAAGUCGAACGAGAUCUUCGGGUCUAGUGGCGCACGGGUGCGUAACGCGUGGGAAUCUGCCCUUUGGUUCGGAAUAACAGUUGGAAACGACUGCUAAUACCGGAUGAUGACGAAAGCCCAAAGAUUUAUCGCCAGAGGAUGAGCCCGCGUAGGAUUAGCCAGUUGGUGUGGUAAAGGCGCACCAAGGCGACGAUCCUUAGCUGGUCUGAGAGGAUGAUCAGCCACACUGGGACUGAGACACGGCCCAGACUCCUACGGGAGGCAGCAGUGGGGAAUAUUGGACAAUGGGCGAAAGCCUGAUCCAGCAAUGCCGCGUGAGUGAUGAAGGCCUUAGGGUUGUAAAGCUCUUUUACCCGGGAUGAUAAUGACAGUACCGGGAGAAUAAGCUCCGGCUAACUCCGUGCCAGCCGCCGCCGUAA
Molecule: ribosomal RNA, 449 nt
Filed under: uncultured bacterium
Lineage: Bacteria
Description: partial 16S ribosomal RNA
Rfam family: Bacterial small subunit ribosomal RNA
Source: RNAcentral